This 535-nucleotide small RNA is filed under the name Pongo abelii (Sumatran orangutan). Its description in RNAcentral is "retained intron". The record is from RNAcentral. Lineage: Eukaryota; Metazoa; Chordata; Mammalia; Primates; Hominidae.
ACUGGCACAUAUGCACUGCUUCAGACACGAGCCCUUUAACAUGGAAUCUGGAAUCUGCCCCGUUGUGGGAGGGGGAGAGGGAGGCAGCCUUGACCUGGGCCCAGGGUACUAGUGGGCGUGGGCUUGCUGCUGACUGGUUGUUCUGUGCUCUCUUCAGCAACCCAAGGAGAUCUGUGCGCUGGUUGGGUUCUGUGAUGAGGUGAAAGAGAUGCCCAUGCAGACUCUGGUCCCCGCCAAAGUGGCCUCCAAGAAUGUCAUCCCUGCCCUGGAACUGGUGGAGCCCAUUAAGAAGCACGAGGUCCCAGCAAAGUCUGAUGUUUACUGUGAGGUGUGUGAAUUCCUGGUGAAGGAAGUGACCAAGCUGAUUGACAACAACAAGACUGAGAAAGAAAUACUCGACGCUUUUGACAAAAUGUGCUCGAAGCUGCCAAAGUCCCUGUCGGAAGAGUGCCAGGAGGUGGUAGACACGUACGGCAGCUCCAUCCUGUCAAUCCUGCUGGAGGAGGUCAGCCCUGAGCUGGUGUGCAGCAUGCUG